UAGGGAAUAUUGCACAAUAGGCGAAAGCCUGAUGCAGCAACGCCGCGUGCGCGAUGACGGCCUUCGGGUUGUAAAGCGCUUUUCGGGGAGAUGAGGAAGGACAGUAUCCCCGGAAUAAGGCUCGGCUAACUACGUGCCAGCAGCCGCGGUAACACGUAGGAGCCAAGCGUUAUCCGAAUUCACUGGGCGUAAAGCGCGUGUAGGCGGCUUGGUAAGUUGGAUGUGAAAGCUCCUGGCUCAACUGGGAGAGGACGUUCAGUACUGCCGGGCUAGAGGGCGACAGAGGGAGGUGGAAUUCCCGGUGUAGUGGUGAAAUGCGUAGAUAUCGGGAGGAACACCAGUGGCGAAAGCGGCCUCCUGGGUCGCACCUGACGCUCGGACGCGAAAGCUAGGGGAGCGAACGG
RNAcentral lists this ribosomal RNA (404 nucleotides) under uncultured bacterium. RNAcentral describes it as "bacterial SSU rRNA". It matches the Rfam family "Bacterial small subunit ribosomal RNA", at positions 355 to 775 of the family's 1533-position model. The record is from RNAcentral.